UAGGGAAUCUUCCGCAAUGGGCGAAAGCCUGACGGAGCAACGCCGCGUGAGUGAUGAAGGUCUUCGGAUCGUAAAACUCUGUUAUUAGGGAAGAACAAAUGUGUAAGUAACUAUGCACGUCUUGACGGUACCUAAUCAGAAAGCCACGGCUAACUACGUGCCAGCAGCCGCGGUAAUACGUAGGUGGCAAUCGUUAUCCGGAAUUAUUGGGCGUAAAGCGCGCGUAGGCGGUGUUUUAAGUCUGAUGUGAGAGCCCACGGCUCAACCGUGGAGGGUCAUUGGGAACGGGAAUACUUAAGUGCAGAAGAGGAAAGUGGAAUUCCAUGUGUAGCGGUGAAAUGCGCAGAGAUAUGGAGGAACUCCAGUGGCGAAGGCGGCUUUCUGGUCUGUAAAUGACGCUGAUGUGCGAAAGCGUGGGGAUCAAACAGG
Molecule: ribosomal RNA, 429 nt
Filed under: Actinomycetes bacterium
Lineage: Bacteria; Bacillati; Actinomycetota; Actinomycetes
Description: Actinobacteria bacterium partial 16S ribosomal RNA
Rfam family: Bacterial small subunit ribosomal RNA
Source: RNAcentral